UAGGCUGAAGCCCGCUGGCUUGGGUAUCUAGUUGUUAACUAGGAUUUUUGCGGGAUCAAGGCCCGUCAGCCUAGA
This 75-nucleotide transfer RNA is filed under the name Lygodactylus angolensis (Angola dwarf gecko). RNAcentral's name for it is "tRNA-Asn". The record is from RNAcentral. Lineage: Eukaryota; Metazoa; Chordata; Lepidosauria; Squamata; Gekkonidae.